AUCAAAUCUUGCUUAGGCUCUGGAUUUGGUCAUGGCUGUGAUGAUGAUGGUAGUUACAGUUAAAAAUCAGUAGUGACAUGCAUUUACGGUGCCAUACUUCACAAAUGCAAUAUCCUACCCUUGACAGGAAAAACUGCACAAUUUAGUGAACCAGUUGGAUGUGUUACUUAAGUACUGCCAAACACACACUGCUCCUUGCCCACUGUUGCCAUGGUAGACACGGCAGCAACACACCAUUACUGAAACGGAGCACUUUUACCUGUUGGAAUAAUAAUGCACAUUGAUUUUUUUUUAAUUAAAAGAUUCCAAUUGAAAGCAUAUGAGACUUAUCCUCAUCUUCGAGUGAAAGAAGCACCCCGAGCAAGAGCCGCACGCGUCCUGAAAACACUGGGAUGAGAGAGGAUUUAAAAAGGGACUCUUAUCUCGACACAUCUAGAACAAGCCGGCCAACCAAAAACAGCAACACCGCAUCUCUCCCUGUGGAAUUGAUUGAAGAGAAACCUGAGGAAGUAUACCCUUUAGAGGAAAGAGCUACAGUAGGGUAGUGAGAUCCACACCCAGAAACAUGAGCAACACUUGGCUUAUUAAGAAAAAGCUGGAGCAGAUCAAGGCAGAAAUGCAGAGACUUUCAGAACGGCACGCUCUCACUCGCCCUGAACGGAAAGCGUAUCAUCCUUUUGUGUGGAACAGCCUGAGUCCUUACAGAGACACCACAGAGAUUGACUAUCUGAUCGCCAUGUCCUCUGGCCAUCGUAGCAGGGAUCGAAGAGCUUCAGGAAGAACUGUCCAUCUGUCACACUGACACAUCCUGACCAGUCAUUUAAAGAAUACUGGACAUUUAUGAUUUUCACAUCGAGCGUAGUGAGGAAAGCAACAUAUUUACACUUUUACAUAGUUAAAGAGCAUUUAAUGUGCUAAAGCCUACCCAAAUCUCCUCUUUAUUCAAUUUAAUGACUGGCCUUUCAGUAUUUGCCUGAAAAUAUUUUCUUCUUUUAGUAAAGUCUUUUAGUCUUGUUUGUUCAAUGUUUUACAAGCUCCAGCACUGAUCACGCAGAGUACGUCACAGAGAUGCUCUGAACAUCCCGCCGGCAAAUAAGAUUAAAAAGAAUGACUGUGAUAUAAUUUAUUGUGUCCUUCAUGUAAGUCCCCAUCAUAUUUAAAAUUCAAGCAUGUUGGAUCAUGCUGCUUGAAGAUGGAAUUCAUAAAACGCCUAAAGAGCAUCUUUUAGAUAUGCAUAUGUGCCAUUGUGUGUGAAACCCCUUUGAAAUUCUUAGAUGUUCCAUGCUGAAACUGAUGAAAGAGAAAGAUGUGUGCAUCCACAUGGUUGGAGGAGAAGUAUUAAAAGAAUGCUGCAGCCGGUAUGAAAGGGUUUAAGAUUAUCAAAGAGAUUUAGGAGAAUAAAUUGGUAGGCAGUUCACUGAAGUGAGGGAUUAUGGCGCAAGAAAAGUGUAAAUGUUUAAUGGCUCACUCUCUCUUUCUCUCUCUCUCGUUUUUUUAAUUUAUUUAUUCUUGGAAGGCACUCAUGUCUGGCUUUAGUUACUGAUAAGCCCAAAGGAGAAAGUAGGUUGCAGCCUUUUUCCUCAUUCUACGCACUCUAUCUCUUUCUGGAGAAGUUUGGAUGGGGAAGUAAGAGAUUUAAAAUAUGAGGCCACGGCUUAUUAAAGUUAAGCUACUACGUUUUCCAGUGGACUCAAGUGCAAUUCUUAAAGCCAUGAUAGAAAACGGUGUCUGUUUUUCUCUCCAUCCACUUACCUAAGCACAAAAUCAAGGUUUUUGGGGGCUGUGUAAAAAAAAUAAUAAUAAGGGAUUUGGAUUUAUCUGGUAAAAAGUACAAAAUAGGCAAAAGAGCCACUUGACGCAAGAGUGUGCUCUCUUUUUUCCUAAGUGAUUUACUUUUUUCCCCUCUCUCUCUCUCUCUCUCUCUCUCUGCAGUCAUCUCUUGUUUUUCCAUGAACUCCAAUUUCAAGAAGCUUUGAAAAGAAGCUCCCCCUGCCACCUUUUUUUUUUUUUUGCCAAAGCGCAGUGCAAUUCACCCCGGCUUAUCACUGCUCCUGCAGUCCAGGGAUAUGAUAUUUACCAUUACCAUUAAAUCCACCAGAGACUGCUUUAAAUUUAAAUACU
Molecule: long non-coding RNA, 2121 nt
Organism: Pangasianodon hypophthalmus (striped catfish)
Lineage: Eukaryota; Metazoa; Chordata; Actinopteri; Siluriformes; Pangasiidae
Exons: 5
Source: RefSeq, a predicted model, not a curated record